This 420-nucleotide ribosomal RNA is filed under the name uncultured Nitrososphaerota archaeon. RNAcentral's name for it is "bacterial SSU rRNA". It matches the Rfam family "Archaeal small subunit ribosomal RNA", at positions 459 to 879 of the family's 1478-position model. Lineage: Archaea; Thermoproteati; Nitrososphaerota. The record is from RNAcentral.
CAGCCGCCGCGGUAAAACCAGCACCUCAAGUGGUCAGGAUGAUUAUUGGGCCUAAAGCAUCCGUAGCCGGCUCUGUAAGUUUUCGGUUAAAUCUGUACGCUUAACGUACAGGCUGCCGGGAAUACUGCAGAGCUAGGGAGUGGGAGAGGUAGACGGUACUCGGUAGGAAGGGGUAAAAUCCUUUGAUCUAUUGAUGACCACCUGUGGCGAAGGCGGUCCACCAGAACACGUCCGACGGUGAGGGAUGAAAGCUGGGGGAGCAAACCGGAUUAGAUACCCGGGUAGUCCCAGCUGUAAACUAUGCAAACUCAGUGAUGCAUUGGCUUGUGGCCAAUGCAGUGCUGCAGGGAAGCCGUUAAGUUUGCCGCCUGGGAAGUACGUACGCAAGUAUGAAACUUAAAGGAAUUGGCGGGGGAGCAC